RNAcentral lists this non-coding RNA (173 nucleotides) under Staphylococcus argenteus. Its description in RNAcentral is "Staphylococcus sRNA 414". It matches the Rfam family "Staphylococcus sRNA 414". Rfam says of the family: Antisense of an annotated CDS (SAOUHSC_1422) but was considered an trans-encoded sRNA rather than a typical antisense RNA. Target prediction revealed enrichment of iron-coding genes and genes with function in cofator metabolism. Lineage: Bacteria; Bacillati; Bacillota; Bacilli; Caryophanales; Staphylococcaceae. The record is from RNAcentral.
UUCUUUACUUGAUCAUCUUUCAAACCCUUACCAGUUAAAUGUAUAAUUUGGUAUUGAUGGAGUAAUGCAUCUAAAUUCUCUCUAAUAAUUUCAUUUAGCUUUUUACUACCUAAACUUCCACCCAUAACGAGUAGUACUUUUUUAUUAUUAUUAAAGCCUGUCAAUUGGUAACC